GUUGUAUGGUUAAGUGACUAAGCGUACAUGGUGGAUGCCUUGGCAGUCAGAGGCGAUGAAGGACGUACUAACCUGCGAUAAGCUGUGAGAAGUCGGUAAGAGACGCUAUUACUCACAGAUUUCCGAAUGGGGAAACCCACCCAAGAUAACUUGGGUAUCGCUACGUGAAUACAUAGCGUAGCGAGGCGAACCGGGAGAACUGAAACAUCUAAGUACCCCGAGGAAAAGAAAUCAACCGAGAUUCCCUCAGUAGCGGCGAGCGAACGGGGAUUAGCCCUUAAGCAUCUUGGAAGUUAGUGGAACGGUCCUGGAAAGGCCGGCGAUACAGGGUGAUAGCCCCGUACACGAAAACAACCUUGAUGUGAAAUCGAGUAGGGCGGGACACGUGACAUCCUGUCUGAAUAUGGGGGGACCAUCCUCCAAGGCUAAAUACUCCUGACUGACCGAUAGUGAACCAGUACCGUGAGGGAAAGGCGAAAAGAACCCCUGUGAGGGGAGUGAAAUAGAACCUGAAACCGUGUACGUACAAGCAGUGGGAGCCCUUAGGGGUGACUGCGUACCUUUUGUAUAAUGGGUCAGCGACUUACAUUUUGUAGCGAGGUUAACCGUAUAGGGGAGCCGUAGGGAAACCGAGUCUUAACUGGGCGUCUAGUUGCAAGGUGUAGACCCGAAACCGGGUGAUCUAGCCAUGGGCAGGUUGAAGGUUGAGUAACAUCAACUGGAGGACCGAACCCACUAACGUUGCAAAGUUAGGGGAUGACCUGUGGCUGGGGGUGAAAGGCCAAUCAAACUCGGAGAUAGCUGGUUCUCCCCGAAAGCUAUUUAGGUAGCGCCUCGGACGAAUACUACUGGGGGUAGAGCACUGUUUGGGCUAGGGGGUCAUCCCGACUUACCAACCCCAUGCAAACUCCGAAUACCAGUAAGUAAUAUCCGGGAGACACACGGCGGGUGCUAACGUCCGUCGUGAAGAGGGAAACAACCCAGACCGCCGGCUAAGGUCCCAAAGUUCUGGUUAAGUGGGAAACGAUGUGGGAAGGCUCAGACAGCUAGGAUGUUGGCUUAGAAGCAGCCAUCAUUUAAAGAAAGCGUAAUAGCUCACUAGUCGAGUCGGCCUGCGCGGAAGAUGUAACGGGGCUCAAACCAGGCACCGAAGCCGCGGAUUCACACUUAUGUGUGAGUGGUAGGGGAGCGUUCUGUAAGUCUGCGAAGGUGUAUCGAGAGGUAUGCUGGAGAUAUCAGAAGUGCGAAUGCUGACGUAAGUAACGAUAAAGGGGGUGAAAAGCCUCCUCGCCGGAAGACCAAGGGUUCCUGUCCAACGUUAAUCGGGGCAGGGUGAGUCGACCCCUAAGGCGAGGCCGAAAGGCGUAGUCGAUGGGAAGCAGGUUAAUAUUCCUGCACGACUUGUAAUUGCGAUGGGGGGACGGAGAAGGCUAGGUGGGCCAGGCGACGGUUGUCCUGGUGAAAGUGCGUAGGUGGUGUUUCUAGGCAAAUCCGGAGACACAACACUGAGACACGAGACGAACACACUACGGUGUAGAAGCCAUUGAUGCCCUGCUUCCAGGAAAAGCCUCUAAGCUUCAGAUUACAAGUCAUCGUACCCCAAACCGACACAGGUGGUCGGGUAGAGAAUACCAAGGCGCUUGAGAGAACUCGGGUGAAGGAACUAGGCAAAAUAGAACCGUAACUUCGGGAGAAGGUUCGCUCUUGACAGUGAAGUCCCUCGCGGAUGGAGCAGUUGGGAGUCGCAGUGACCAGAUGGCUGGGACUGUUUAUCAAAAACACAGCACUCUGCAAACACGAAAGUGGACGUAUAGGGUGUGACACCUGCCCGGUGCCGGAAGGUUAAUUGAUGGGGUUAGCGCAAGCGAAGCUCUUGAUCGAAGCCCCGGUAAACGGCGGCCGUAACUAUAACGGUCCUAAGGUAGCGAAAUUCCUUGUCGGGUAAGUUCCGACCUGCACGAAUGGUGUAACCAUGGCCAUGCUGUCUCCACCCGAGACUCAGUGAAAUCGAAUUCGCCGUGAAGAUGCGGUGUACCCGCGGCUAGACGGAAAGACCCCGUGAACCUUUACUACAGCUUGGCACUGAACAUUGAACCUACAUGUGUAGGAUAGGUGGGAGGCUUUGAAGGCGUGACGCCAGUUGCGCUGGAGCCGUCCUUGAAAUACCACCCUUGUAUGUUUGAUGUUCUAACGCAGGCCCAUGAAUCUGGGCCGCGGACAGUGCCUGGUGGGUAGUUUGACUGGGGCGGUCUCCUCCCAAAGAGUAACGGAGGAGCACGAAGGUUGGCUAAUCCUGGUCGGACAUCAGGAGGUUAGUGCAAUGGCAUAAGCCAGCUUAACUGCGAGACGGACAGGUCGAGCAGGUACGAAAGUAGGUCAUAGUGAUCCGGUGGUUCUGAAUGGAAGGGCCAUCGCUCAACGGAUAAAAGGUACUCCGGGGAUAACAGGCUGAUACCGCCCAAGAGUUCAUAUCGACGGCGGUGUUUGGCACCUCGAUGUCGGCUCAUCACAUCCUGGGGCUGAAGUCGGUCCCAAGGGUAUGGCUGUUCGCCAUUUAAAGUGGUACGCGAGCUGGGUUCAGAACGUCGUGAGACAGUUCGGUCCCUAUCUGCCGUGGGCGUUGGAUGAUUGAAGGGAGUUGCUCCUAGUACGAGAGGACCGGAGUGAACGAACCUCUGGUGUUCGGGUUGUCACGCCAGUGGCACUGCCCGGUAGCUAAGUUCGGAAUCGAUAACCGCUGAAAGCAUCUAAGCGGGAAGCGAGCCCUGAGAUGAGUCAUCCCUGACCCCUUGAGGGUCCUAAAGGGCCGUUGGAGACCACAACGUUGAUAGGUGGGGUGUGUAAGCGCGGCGACGUGUUGAGCUAACCCAUACUAAUUACCCGUGAGGCUUAACCAUACAACACCCAAGAAGUGUUCUG
RNAcentral lists this ribosomal RNA (2919 nucleotides) under Aeromonas veronii. Its description in RNAcentral is "bacterial LSU rRNA". It matches the Rfam family "Bacterial large subunit ribosomal RNA". Lineage: Bacteria; Pseudomonadati; Pseudomonadota; Gammaproteobacteria; Aeromonadales; Aeromonadaceae. The record is from RNAcentral.